RNAcentral lists this ribosomal RNA (876 nucleotides) under Triticum aestivum (bread wheat). RNAcentral describes it as "partial small subunit ribosomal RNA". The record is from RNAcentral. Lineage: Eukaryota; Viridiplantae; Streptophyta; Magnoliopsida; Poales; Poaceae.
AUGAGUAAUCCUGCAAUAUCUAUUUACUCUUGGAAUGUACAUGGCUUGGGUGAAGAUGCCAAGUGCUCUAACAUCCUAUCUGAACUGAUCGCGAUCAAACCUCACAUUGCCCUCCUUCAAGAAUUAAAACUCGAUAUUUACUCCGACACCAAACUAAGAUCAUUCUUACCACGUCACCUCGACCAAUCCUUCUCGUUUCCCGCCAUUGGAACCACUGGCGGCACUAUUUUCGGCAUCAACACAACUUCUCUCCAACUUAUCUCAUACACUCACCUUACCUUCUCCUCCACCCUAAAUAUAAAAUCAACAACAUGUGCUCGCAACAUCUCCAUUACCAAUAUCUACGCCCCCUCUUCAUGUGUGCUCAAACAAUCCUUCCUGGAUGAGCUCCUUGCCAUCUCACAACCAGAUGAUUCUCCCUGGUUAAUUUUUGGAGAAUUCAACCUCCUUCGCUUCCCCUCCGAUAAAAAUAACAAUGCCUUUCGGCAGUCGGAGGCCAAUGCAUUCAAUCAAACCCUAGAUGACCUAGCUCUCAUCGAGCUGCCACUCCUUAAUCGCCAAUUUACUUGGUCAAACCAUAGAGAAACGCCCACCUUAGAACGGAUUGACCGCGCUUUCUUUAAUCUAGCUAGGGCCAACGUCUUUUUUAACACAUCUCUAUCAUCGCUCACACGAUUCACGUCCGACCAUGUCUCUCUCCUCAUACACAUCACCACAACGAUCCCUCGGUCCAACUUUUUCAAAUUUGAGACUGGUUGGGCCAAUUUCCGUCCAUGCAAUGAUAUUGUUAGGAAAUGUUGGGCCCCAACCCAGCCCACACCAGCCAACUUGGCCGCCACCCUUGCCUCCUUGCUAAAAAAUCACGGGCCUGCCUAG